Amphiprion ocellaris (clown anemonefish) is the source of this 736-nucleotide long non-coding RNA. The record is from Ensembl. NCBI's taxonomy places the organism in Eukaryota, Metazoa, Chordata, Actinopteri, Pomacentridae.
GCAAAGUUUCAGUGCAUUCCGUUGAUGUAGACAACGUGAAAACGGAAACAAGUAUGCCGGCUCACUGUGCUGCAUACAGUUACACACUACGUCGUACGAUUGAGACAAGGAAACUUGGAAUGACUUUUCACAGGUUUCCCAGAGACUAUGGGUUGAGGAGGAAUUGGAAGUUUGUCGGCUUAGACCUGGUGUCAUUCCAUCAGUGUUAAACUUCCCGGCUCAUCUUGGAAGAGUAUGUGCCAGAAAGACCACGACCAAGCAGCCUUGAGAUCUUAGACAGCGUCUCCCUGAGGUCCCUCUCUAUCUCCCCACACAUCCACCAACCACUGGAACACAUCUCCAAAGUUCUGCCGGGCCAGCUCAGCUUCCCCUCAGAAGAAGUGCCGCCACCUGCCAGAUGAAGGAGCCUUUUGAGAGGCAGCUGACAUCGUAAUUGGACUGUGCUUUGGUCUGUUCCAAUCCAGCUUCAGCUCCAGAGACGGCAGGCGGGACGAGUCAACGGAGGCCGGGUGGACGAAGGCAUGAAGCUGAGUACAAUCCAGAAAACAACAGAGGAGGAGUGCAGCGGCUCAGGGCCAGAACAGAGUAGCAUCGUAUGUCUCUUAGAAAACAUCAUAGUAUAGCCUUUUCUAUGAAAAAACGCCAUCAUAUGCAUCGUAUAUUGUACAAAUAAGUCAAAGGAAAGAGACAUACAUUGUAGAAUUGUAGUAAUUGUGGGCUGACUGAUUUACUGAUU